Molecule: ribosomal RNA, 433 nt
Filed under: uncultured bacterium
Lineage: Bacteria
Description: partial 16S ribosomal RNA
Rfam family: Bacterial small subunit ribosomal RNA
Source: RNAcentral
AACGAACGCUGGCGGCAUGCCUAACACAUGCAAGUCGAACGAGACCUUCGGGUCUAGUGGCGCACGGGUGCGUCACGCGUGGGAACCUGCCCUUAGGUUCGGCAUACCUCCCCGAAAGGGGUGCUAAUACCGGAUAAUGUCUUCGGACCAAAGAUUUAUCGCCCUUGGAUGGGCCCGCGUUGGAUUAGCUAGUUGGUAGGGUAAAAGCCUACCACGGCGACGAUCCAUAGCUGGUCUGAGAGGAUGAUCAGCCACACUGGGACUGAGACACGGCCCAGACUCCUACGGGAGGCAGCAGUGGGGAAUAUUGGACAAUGGGCGAAAGCCUGAUCCAGCAAUGCCGCGUGAGUGAUGAAGGCCUUAGGGUUGUAAAGCUCUUUUACCCGGGAUGAUAAUGACAGUACCGGGAGAAUAAGCGCCGGCUAACUCCGUG